Molecule: ribosomal RNA, 253 nt
Filed under: uncultured bacterium
Lineage: Bacteria
Description: partial 16S ribosomal RNA
Rfam family: Bacterial small subunit ribosomal RNA
Source: RNAcentral
CACGUAGGAGACGAGCGUUAUCCGGAUUUACUGGGUGUAAAGCGCGUGCAGGCGGUAUGGUAAGUUGGAUGUGAAAGCUCCUGGCUUAACUGGGAGAGGUCGUUCAAAACUACCAGACUAGAGGACAGCAGAGGGGAGUGGAAUUCCGAGUGUAGCGGUAAAAUGCAUAGAUAUUCGGAAGAACACCAGUGGCGAAGGCGGCUCUCUGGGCUGUACCUGACGCUCAGACGCGAAAGCUAGGGUAGCAAACGGG